Molecule: ribosomal RNA, 451 nt
Filed under: uncultured bacterium
Lineage: Bacteria
Description: bacterial SSU rRNA
Rfam family: Bacterial small subunit ribosomal RNA
Source: RNAcentral
GCCAGACUCCUACGGGAGGCAGCAGUGAGGAAUAUUGGUCAAUGGGCUUACGCCUGAACCAGCCAAGUCGCGUGAGGGAAGACUGCCCUAUGGGUUGUAAACCUCUUUUGUCAGGGAGCAACGCCGGCUACGUGUAGCCGGACUGAGAGUACCUGAAGAAAAAGCAUCGGCUAACUCCGUGCCAGCAGCCGCGGUAAUACGUAGGGGGCAAGCGUUAUCCGGAUUUACUGGGUGUAAAGGGAGCGUAGACGGCACUGCAAGUCCGGAGUGAAAGCCCAAGGCUUAACCAUGGGACUGCUCUGGAAACUGUGGAGCUUGAGUGCGGGAGGGGCAGGCGGAAUUCCUGGUGUAGCGGUGAAAUGCGUAGAUAUUAGGAGGAACCCCGGCGGCGAAGGCGGCCUGCUGGACCGUAACUGACGUUGAGGCUCGAAAGCGUGGGGAGCAAACAGGA